CCUCUCUCCAGGGCUUGAUGCUUCUUCUCCCUAUAAUUUCCCUUCAGGACAUGGGAAAAUUGUACCCAGUGAAGUCGUCAGCUUGUAGAGACUGAACAAAGUCUAAGUGUCCAAAGACUCCGUGAGUCAAUGGUAAUUGAUAAAUGAUUGACCUAAGGUCUAAGGAUAUAAGAACAUGAAAAGAUUAAUGAUUUUUUUUUGAAGAAAUAUUUAAAGGUCACUAGGGGAGGAGAAAGCAAACUUCAAGAAAACUGCCAAGGAGAAGAACGGAUGAAAGUCUCGAGCAUGAAAAGCACCCAUUUCUCCCUGGAGUGACUUUAAAAAAACGCACGGUCCACCGAGGAGUGAGGUGGUGAAGACGUUUGACACUCUUGGAAAGGACUGUCCCUCGAGUGGAUACUUCUAGAGGAUCUACUCCCUUUCAUCUAACUGCAAAGACACCAAAGAAGGCUCCUGGCUUCCAGGGAGACAGUUCACAUUGAGGGUUUGCAGAGCUGAGCUUGUUUAUCUGUUGCACAAAGGUAUUUGUCUCUCAGCAACAAAGGAAAGCCACCAUAUUGAGGUCACUCUAAUUACUUAUCGGCAUGCAAGAAACAGUCUUCUAAAAGAACCCCUUCCACCCCUCCUUUAAUUAUCAUUUGUUACUUAUGACCGAGGAGAUUAAAUUGAAUGUGCCAAAUCAAGUAAAAUUCUACUCAGUGGGGUCAGAGUAGUAACCAAGAAUCAUAUGAUACUGUGCUUAUAAGGCCUGCACUCCGGAAGGAAAGACAAACAAACAGAGAUAUAAAUUGGGAUAUAUGACAAUUCUGAAAGAGAUGUUUCUUUUAAAAUCUACCAGUGCGGUUUUAUAUUUAUGAAGAUCUCUGUAUCCAGGAACUUCAGUCCAGAAAAUAAAACGUGUCAGCUAUUUCAAGCAGGGCAAGAUUGAGGAAGACUAAUU
This is a non-coding RNA of Microcebus murinus (gray mouse lemur), 940 nucleotides long. The record is from RefSeq and is a predicted model, not a curated record. Lineage: Eukaryota; Metazoa; Chordata; Mammalia; Primates; Cheirogaleidae.